AUGGGGGACUUUGAUGGUGAGCAAAAAGAAUUGAUCAAGAAAUUGGUAAACUUUCGCAUGAUCGAUGGUAAAAGAACGAGAGUUCGUGCUAUUGUUUAUAAAACUUUUCACCGCCUAGCUCGAACUGAACGCGAUGUAAUAAAACAUAUGGUUGACGUCAUAGAUAAUAUAAAGCCAACAUGCGAAGUGGUCAAAGUAGGAGUCGCAGGUCAAUUGAGUUCGAUUCAAAUUGGAAAAAAAAUAGAGUUUCAUUUUUCUAUAUGCAUGUUGUACAAAAAUCAUCCUUUUCUUUACUGCUUUAUCUCCUGA
RNAcentral lists this ribosomal RNA (309 nucleotides) under Triticum aestivum (bread wheat). RNAcentral describes it as "partial small subunit ribosomal RNA". Lineage: Eukaryota; Viridiplantae; Streptophyta; Magnoliopsida; Poales; Poaceae. The record is from RNAcentral.